Molecule: ribosomal RNA, 632 nt
Filed under: uncultured Bacteroidota bacterium
Lineage: Bacteria; Pseudomonadati; Bacteroidota
Description: uncultured Bacteroidetes bacterium partial 16S ribosomal RNA
Source: RNAcentral
CGCGUUGGGAGCUCUCCCAUAUGGUCGACCUGCAGGCGGCCGCGAAUUCACUAGUGAUUCGUAUACCGCGGCUGCUGGCACAGAGUUAGCCGGUGCUUAUUCUGUCGGUAACGUCAAAACACUAACGUAUUAGGUUAAUGCCCUUCCUCCCAACUUAAAGUGCUUUACAAUCCGAAGACCUUCUUCACACACGCGGCAUGGCUGGAUCAGGCUUUCGCCCAUUGUCCAAUAUUCCUUACUGCUGCCUCCCGUAGGAGUCGGGCCCGUGUCUCAGUGCCCGUGUGGCUGAUCAUGCUCUCACAUCAGCUACUGAUCGAAGGCUUGGUGGGCCUUUACCCCGCCAACUACCUAAUCAGACGCACACCCAUCUUCAAGCGUCGUAACUAUAAUAGUAGUAUGAUGCCAUCCCACUAUCUUACGGGGUAUUAAUCCACAUUUCUAUGGGCUAUCCCCCUCUUAAAGGAAGGUUGUGUACGUGUUCCGCACCCGUUUGCCGGUCGCCAGCCCUAUAUUGCUAUAAGCUGAUGCCCCUCGACUUGCAUGUAUUAAGCCUGCCGCUAGCGUUCAUCCUGAGCCAUGAUCAAACUCUAAUCGAAUUCCCGCGGCCGCCAUGGCGCCCGGGAGCAUGCGAC